CUAGAGUUUGAUCAUGGCUCAGAUUGAACGCUGGCGGCAUGCUUUACACAUGCAAGUCGAACGGGGUGAGGGGGCAACUCUUCAUUCAGUGGCGAACGGGUGAGUAAUGCAUCGGAACGUGUCCCGUAGUGGGGGAUAACGCCGCGAAAGCGGCGCUAAUACCGCAUAUGCUCUACGGAGGAAAGCAGGGGACCUGAGAGGGCCUUGUGCUGGGGGAGCGGCCGAUGUCCGAUUAGCUUGUUGGUGGGGUAACGGCCUACCAAGGCUGCGAUCGGUAGCUGGUCUGAGAGGAUGAUCAGCCACACUGGGACUGAGACACGGCCCAGACUCCUACGGGAGGCAGCAGUGGGGAAUUUUGGACAAUGGGGGCAACCCUGAUCCAGCCAUGCCGCGUGCGGGAAGAAGGCCUUCGGGUUGUAAACCGCUUUUAGCCGGGAAGAAAAGUCUACGGAUAACACCCGUGGGUUUUGACGGUACCGGCGGAAUAAGCACCGGCUAACUACGUGCCAGCAGCCGCGGUAAUACGUAGGGUGCGAGCGUUAAUCGGAAUUACUGGGCGUAAAGCGUGCGCAGGCGGUUCGUUGUGUCGGUGGUGAAAGCCCCGGGCUUAACCUGGGAAUGGCCAUGGAAACUGGCGAACUGGAGUGAAUGU
Molecule: ribosomal RNA, 652 nt
Filed under: uncultured bacterium
Lineage: Bacteria
Description: bacterial SSU rRNA
Rfam family: Bacterial small subunit ribosomal RNA
Source: RNAcentral